This 201-nucleotide ribosomal RNA is filed under the name uncultured bacterium. Its description in RNAcentral is "partial 16S ribosomal RNA". It matches the Rfam family "Bacterial small subunit ribosomal RNA", at positions 1300 to 1500 of the family's 1533-position model. The record is from RNAcentral.
GAAGGCUGAAAUUCGCCUUCAUGAAGCCGGAAUUGCUAGUAAUGGCAGGUCAGCAUACUGCCGUGAAUACGUUCCCGGGCCUUGUACACACCGCCCGUCACACCAUGAGAGUUGGGAAUACCCGAAGCCUGUGAGCUAACAUUUAUGAGGCAGCAGUCGAAGGUAGAAUCAAUGAUUGGGGUGAAGUCGUAACAAGGUAUC